GAAGUCGGCUGGACAGUCGCCGCGGUGCUUGUCACCGGGGAGGAAAGUCCGGGCUCCAUAGAGCAGGAUGCCGGCUAACGGCCGGAGGCCGCGAGGCCAUGGAAAGUGAUACAGAGACUCAGACCGCCCAAGCGGACCUCGCGGUCCGACGGCAAGGGUGAAAAGGUGCGGUAAGAGCGCACCGCGCAAGCGGCAACGCAAGCGGCAUGUCAAACCCCAUCCGGAGCAAGACCAAAUAGGGGAACGAUCGCGUGGCUCGCGCGGUUCCCGGGUAGGUUGCUUGAGCGACCGGGCAACCGGUCGCCUAGAGGAAUGACUGUCCUCGACAGAACCCGGCUUACAGGCCGGCUUCACCA
Molecule: RNase P RNA, 356 nt
Filed under: Pseudomonadota bacterium
Lineage: Bacteria; Pseudomonadati; Pseudomonadota
Description: RNase P RNA component class A
Rfam family: Bacterial RNase P class A
About the family: Ribonuclease P (RNase P) is a ubiquitous endoribonuclease, found in archaea, bacteria and eukarya as well as chloroplasts and mitochondria. Its best characterised activity is the generation of mature 5'-ends of tRNAs by cleaving the 5'-leader elements of precursor-tRNAs. Cellular RNase Ps are ribonucleoproteins.
Source: RNAcentral